Molecule: long non-coding RNA, 2093 nt
Organism: Scylla paramamosain (green mud crab)
Lineage: Eukaryota; Metazoa; Arthropoda; Malacostraca; Decapoda; Portunidae
Exons: 10
Source: RefSeq, a predicted model, not a curated record
UCGCUCUUCCUCCGCUAGGUGGCUGUGUCAGCAUGUAAACACUGGUGUGGUUGUUCGCUUAUCACCAGCAAAAUACACCGUUUAUACAAGACUGAGGUACGUGAACUCACCUGUGACCACUGCACAGGUAACAGGUGUACGUGUCUGUGUGUCUGUGUGUCUCCUCCCCACCUGUGCAGGGAUACGAACCAAGGGCAAGACGAGUAGCUGGAAAGAUGGUGACCUCAAGAAAUAAGAGGGAAAUUUUGAGGAGAAAAGAACACCAGUAAGAAGAAGGAAAGAAGAUGUACGGCUUUAUCUUCCCCCCAUCUCUGCUCCUUGCCUUGUCUGUUGCCCCGCCGCCUCUCUGUGUCUGCCUCUCUCUGCCUCGCUGUCUACUCUUCACUGGCCGCAACGGAGGACAAGAGUGAGACGGAAAGGAGAUAAGAAUGAGCAGAAGGCAAGGAAGAAGAAGAGGAGGAGGACGACGACGACGAGGAGGAGGAGCAGGAGGAAGAGGAGGAGGAAAGAACUGAACAAACAGAAGACAUGGAAAGUGGAGGUGAAGCAGGACAAAGAAAACGGUGUGACGUAGAGAGGCAUCAUCACGCACCCAGAACACAGCUUCCUAACGCCACGUGCCGCCCCUCCGAUGUUUACGACAGGUGAAAAGGGGAUUAGUGACAGGGUGAGCGAGGGAGCGGCGCACAUCCCUCCUCUCCGGUGGCUGCAGCGAGACUGAUGCUCUGACAACACGUGACCCCUUCCACAGUGAGCGAGAGAGUGUAAGAGGGAGAGAAACGAGAUGAGUCUCCGCUGCGUGGCUGAAGAAAACGACGUAGCAGGAAGAAAACGACAUCGGUGUUCAAUGUUUGCAGGCCAACGCAGCCCUCUAACCAGCCCCACUCAGUCUUUGUACGUCGCCUCAAACAGCAGAACAAAAGCCAGAAUAUAUUCCAAUUCCUCCCUGUCGUCUCCACUCGGCACCAUUUGCGACUAGCAGCGAGAGUGAGUGGUCGACCUGCGGAGGUCUCGUGGCGGGACGCUGAAGGAGGCAGUGAAGCAGUGAAGUUAUGAGGUUUGCAGUCUCCACUUCACCAUCCCAUGAACACCCCUACUAGCUUCUGGUUAUCAAAUGAUGAUGCCACACCAGGCCUGACAUUCUCCAUUGCAAUCAGGGAGUCAAGUUUCAUCAGGAAGAGAGUACGAGUGUCACUACUUUCAAGCCUGACAAGAAGCAUUGAGUUUCAUCAGGAAGAGUUCAAGUGUUGCUUUCCUUCAAGCCAAGAUGUGUUGAUUUAUUUCAUCAGGAAGGAGAGCACAGCAGGAAAAGGGUCUAGCAGAUGAAUUUCUACAUUGCAAUCGAGGAAGAGUUGCAGCAAGAAGAGUGGAAGUCAAGAAUUUUGAGCAGGGGUAAGAUUGUCAAGCAGUUAACAGCAGGAAGAGUGCAUGAAAUUCCUUCAAGUUGUGGUGGAGACUGACAAGCAACCUUCAGGAAGGAGAACCUUCAGGAUUUGCAGAGAGGCAGAGUUCUUGGCAGUUUCACCAGGAAGAGUCUGCUGCUCACUCAAGUUGACACAGGACAAGCAAGAAUCAGCAAGUCUCCUCCUACCCUCUAUACUCCAAUAUCAAGUAAGCAUCAGCCCCACCACCUUCAGGCCUGGGACAAGUCACAGACGUUUCAUUCAAUUACAAGGAAAAUAAAAUGCCAUGCUUUUUUCCCUGUUGUGCAUUUAUUAUUUAUUUAUUGAACAUGCACGGUAAAACUAAAAAUUUAAUUUAUUGUGUACUAUGUAUGCACAUGUAUAGAGGAGUAGCAUGAUAAAAUGGAAUUAGAAUUUGUGGUCAGGAUCAGCUCAAAAAUGAAUGUUUUUCUGGUGGGUGACUUUCAUAUAUGCCCUGAGGGUUGAAAAAAAAAGCCAGGAUUGGCCCAAAAAAAAGAAUUUCCUGUGGUCAGGAUCAGCAGCUCUUAUAAAAAUAAAUGUUUUUCUGGUGGUAACUUUCAUAUAUGCCCUGAGGGUUAAAAAAACAGGAUUGGCCCAAAAAUGGCCCAAAAAAUAAUUUCUUGUGGUCAGGAUCAGCUCAAAAAUAAAUGUUUUUCUGGUGGUAACUCA